AAGUCGUAACAAGGUUUCCGUAGGUGAACCUGCGGAAGGAUCAUUAAUGAAAUACCGAACGUUUGGGAAUCGUCCGGGUUGUUGCUGGCCUCUUCGUUGAGGUAUGUGCACGCCUUGACCCCUGGCGUUUCAGUCCUUUCUUCACACCUUGUGCACCAAAUGUAGCUGGGGAUGAUCACGAAGCCUUUUGGUUUCGAAUGCCUCGGCUAUGAAGUUUUUACAAACGCUUUGUUAAAGUCUAUUAGAACGUUUGUAACCGCGUCUGACGCGAAUUAAAUACAACUUUCAGCAACGGAUCUCUUGGCUCUCGCAUCGAUGAAGAACGCAGCGAAAUGCGAUAAGUAAUGUGAAUUGCAGAAUUCAGUGAAUCAUCGAAUCUUUGAACGCACCUUGCGCUCCUUGGUAUUCCGAGGAGCAUGCCUGUUUGAGUGUCAUGAAAUUCUCAACUGCCCUCUUUUCUUAAGAGGGUGAAGUUGGAUUUGGAGCGCUUUGCUGGCCUUUUGUUACCGGCUGCUCCUAAAAGCAUUCCAAGCCUUUUGUUAUCUCGGCGCAAAGUAUCUUUGACGUGAUAAUUAUCUACGUCGCAGAGAAAGCCUAGAGGGGGCUUGUUAAAGUAUUUCUUUGACCCUUUCGACCUCAAAUCAGGCAGGACUACCCGCUGAACUUAAGCAUAUCAAUAAGCGGAGGAAAAGAAACUAACGAGGAUUCCCCUAGUAACUGCGAGUGAAGCGGGACAAGCUCAAAUUUGAAAUCUGGCGUGCCUCUGGCCGUCCGAGUUGUAGUCUGGAGAAGCGUCUUCCGUGCUGGGCCGUGUACAAGUCCCUUGGAACAGGGCGUCAUAGAGGGUGAGAAUCCCGUCUUUGACACGGACUACCAGUGCUCUGUGAUGCGCUCUCAACGAGUCGAGUUGUUUGGGAAUGCAGCUCAAAAUGGGUGGUAAAUUCCAUCUAAAGCUAAAUACAGGCGAGAGACCGAUAGCGAACAAGUACCGUGAGGGAAAGAUGAAAAGCACUUUGGAAAGAGAGUUAAACAGUACGUGAAAUUGCUGAAAGGGAAACGCUUGAAGUCAGUCGCGUCUGCCAGGACUCAGCCUUGCUUUUUUGCUUGGUGCACUUUCUGGUGGACGGGUCAGCAUCGAUUUCGAUCGUCAGAAAAAGUCAAAGGGAACGUGGCACCUUUCGAGGUGUGUUAUAGCCCUUUGUUGUAUGUGACGGUUGGGAUCGAGGACUGCAGCACGCCCUUGUGGCUAUGAAUCUCAUAUACGUGCUUAGGAUGCUGGCUUAAUGGCUUUAAGCGACC
This 1299-nucleotide ribosomal RNA is filed under the name uncultured fungus. RNAcentral's name for it is "eukaryotic LSU rRNA". The stretch from base 632 to 1299 matches the Rfam family "Eukaryotic large subunit ribosomal RNA", at positions 1 to 649 of the family's 3401-position model. The record is from RNAcentral. Lineage: Eukaryota; Fungi.